UUACUUUAAUUUUACAUUUAUUAAUAUUUCAAGCCCUAGUUAUUUAUCUCAUCUUAAUUCUAUUGAUUUAUUCAAUUUGUUCAAAAUUUAGGGCUUAAAUUCUUUAAAGUGUUAUCUUUAGUUUAAUCUACCCUAGAUCUGUGAAAUCUUUGAAGUUGAGGUGAUAUUUUAAUUUUAUUAUUUACUUUUUUAUUUUAGUUUAAGUAGAUUUGUGAAAUAUUUCUCUUUUUUGGUUUAUUAAUUUACUUUAUCCAGAUCUAGUUUUUCAAAUAACUGUUCAACCCUAGAUCUGUGAAAUCUUUGAUGGUUUGAGUUUUUCAUUAUCAUCUUUUGUUGAAAUAUAUUUAUUAUUAUUAUUCUUGGUGACCAAAAAUUGUUACAAUAAUAUUUUACUAAUAUUUGUUCCACGUUCAGAUGGAUCUGUACUUGGAACUCUUAACAAUUUGUUGACUUUUCGGUUUUUUUUUAGCUUGCAGUCCUUCUAGUUGAUCGAACUCUUCUCAACAUAGAACAGAUCUUGCCUGAAAAAGAUGUGUUUUUAAGUGUACUUGGAUUGACCAAUGACUGAUCUUGCAACAAGUGAAGAUACAAUUGAAAUUCAACCACUUGUGGUGUCUGGUAUGGCUAAUGCCAGAUAAGAUUCUUUGACAUGUAAAGAUAGAUGUCAUAUUGUUGUCAAAAAUCAAAAUAGAUUGAUGAUGUUGUAAUGUAUCUGCUUACCUCAUGUUUUUUUUUGUUUAUUGAGAACGAUGUGUAGUUAUGUUUGUAGACAAACUUGGAAGUUGCAAAGUAAUUUUUUUGGUCAUCAAUGCAUCUGAACUUUGGAAGUUUGCAAAGUACUUACUUUUAUUGAAUGUGUGAUUAAAGUUGUAGUUUUGAUGGUAAUGGAGUAAUUAAUAUUUAAAUUUUCUCAUGAAUAAAUCCGGUUCUUAAACUCUGGACUAAGGUGCCAAAUAUUACAUGAAUUGUGUAAAGAUUAAUAAGGAACAAAACGCGGCCGACUGCCAAAAAUUUAGAUUGAGAAAUAGGGCAGCCGCCUAGAUGAGAGAAUCUCUAUGAUGUGGACUUGAGCUAUACACAUACAAUGCCAUAGGAGCAAGGAUCGAUGUCUGGUUGCUUAGAUAAGAAUAAAAUAAGCAAGGGUGUUUUCACAUCUAUGUGAACAAGUGUGUGGAUAAAAAGGUUUGUUGACGGAGCAGUGAUAUAUGUAGAAUCAUUU
This 1219-nucleotide long non-coding RNA is filed under the name Medicago truncatula (barrel medic). RNAcentral describes it as "lncRNA gene37368". The record is from RNAcentral. Lineage: Eukaryota; Viridiplantae; Streptophyta; Magnoliopsida; Fabales; Fabaceae.